GUUGCCGUGGCCGAGGGGUUAAGGCGUUGGACUGGAAAUCCAAUGGGAUCUUCCCGCGCAGGCUCGAAUCCUGCCCGCAAUG
This is a non-coding RNA of Nematostella vectensis (starlet sea anemone), 82 nucleotides long. NCBI's taxonomy places the organism in Eukaryota, Metazoa, Cnidaria, Anthozoa, Actiniaria, Edwardsiidae. The record is from Rfam.